GAUGAACGCCGGCCGCGUGCCUAAUACAUGCAAGCCGAGUGAACGUACGAUAAGCUCGCUUUUCUGAUGUUAGCGGCGUACGGGUGAGUAACACAUGGAUAACCUACCUAUAAGACUGAGUGAACUUCGGAAAACCUGAGCUAAAACCGUCUAAUAGUUUGAACAGCAUGAUUCAAAAGUUAACGACGGUCAUACUGUCACUCAUAGAUGGAUCUGCGCUGCAUUAGCUAGUUGGUAAGGUAACGGCUUACCAAGGCAACGAUGCAUAGACGACCUGAGAGGGCGAUCGGCCAAAGUGGAGCUGAGCCACGGUCAAGACCCCUAAGGGAGGGAGAAGUAGGGAAUCUUGCGAAAUGGACGAAAGCGUGACGGAGGAACGCCGAGUGAGUGAUUAAGGUCUUCGGACCGUAAAACUCUGUUAUUAGGGAAGAACGUCUGUGUAAGUAACUGUGCACAUCUUGACGGUACCUAAUCAGAGAGCCACGGCUAACUACGUG
This 497-nucleotide ribosomal RNA is filed under the name uncultured bacterium. Its description in RNAcentral is "partial 16S ribosomal RNA". It matches the Rfam family "Bacterial small subunit ribosomal RNA", at positions 28 to 507 of the family's 1533-position model. The record is from RNAcentral.